GCCCUCAUAGCUCAACAGGAUAGAGCACAGGUUUCCUAAACCUGGAAUCGGGGUUCGAGUCCCUGUGAGGGCA
Molecule: transfer RNA, 73 nt
Filed under: Ignavibacteria bacterium
Lineage: Bacteria; Pseudomonadati; Ignavibacteriota; Ignavibacteria
Description: tRNA-Arg
Rfam family: tRNA
About the family: Transfer RNA (tRNA) molecules are approximately 80 nucleotides in length.
Source: RNAcentral